GUUUUGUUUAUUUUGUUUUGUUGCAUUGCUGUGAUUCCUUCCCACUCACUUCAUGGUCAGACGUGCCAAAUCCGCGGAAAAAAACGCAGAAAUUGGGCUUGUUUUUGACUUAAUUGGCUUGGGGCCACCAUGAUGCCUGAGGAAAUCUGAGAAUCCAUCCCUCCGCCUCCACUCUCCCACUGUUUGAUAUAGAGCCCCGGAUAUGAAAUUCACGUCUUAUCUUCCCUGGAGAUUGCUGUGAAGACCAGCAAAAUAGAGAGAUGAUGACAUCAAGAGAAUGAAAAUUAAGCAAUUGGGAGGGAAGGACAAGAAAAAAUGAGAAGGUGAAGGAGACCAGGACGCUAUAAUGAAAAUACCACAAAACUUUCCUUAAUACAUCAUCAUAAUUACAGUCGUGGCUCAAGACUCUCUCAUGUGCUGCACAGUUGAGGAAAAAAUGUUCUUAUUGUGUUUGAGAAAGUAUCUCUCUCAGGCUGCUGACAGUGAAAUUCAAGCAUGGUACCUCAGGAAAAGCGCAAGGAUUAGAAACAAGGCAAGACAAAUUAUCAGAUUAGCUAUAGAAGAUCCAGACUUUCUUCCACUAUUUCCUCCUUAAAAUGGCAAGAUAAAAGAAAACAACAUGAUCUUCAUUAGCAGACAGUCUCUAUUUGAAUAGAUCUGAAUGUUUAAAAUAAUCCUUUUUCAUCUCUUCUGCUUUGGACUAUUCUAGUUAAAGCCACACCUUCAAACA
Long non-coding RNA from Mauremys reevesii (Reeves's turtle), 730 nucleotides. RefSeq lists it as uncharacterized. The record is from RefSeq and is a predicted model, not a curated record. The transcript has 4 exons. NCBI's taxonomy places the organism in Eukaryota, Metazoa, Chordata, Testudines, Geoemydidae.